RNAcentral lists this ribosomal RNA (228 nucleotides) under uncultured bacterium. Its description in RNAcentral is "partial 16S ribosomal RNA". It matches the Rfam family "Bacterial small subunit ribosomal RNA", at positions 1260 to 1486 of the family's 1533-position model. The record is from RNAcentral.
ACCCCUAGCAAAUCUCAAAAAACCGUCUCAGUUCGGAUUGUGCUCUGCAACUCGAGCACAUGAAGUCGGAAUCGCUAGUAAUCGCAGAUCAGCAUGCUGCGGUGAAUACGUUCCCGGGCCUUGUACACACCGCCCGUCACACCAUGGGAGUUGGCUUUACCUGAAGGCGGUGCGCUAACCAGCAAUGGAGGCAGCCGACCACGGUAGGGUCAGCGACUGGGGUGAAGA